UGUUCUGCUGAAGGCUGUAAGCAGCUGUCAGAGAUGCAGAGAAUAAGGACUGCCGUGAAAUUCUCCCACCUGUAUCCUCCUCCAGCCUGUACCCUCACUUCCUGAUGCUGAGUGGUGUCCCCAGCUUGGCCAUGAACUCUAUCUGCCUGUGGUACACUAGCAAGAUUGCAGGACCCCAGAUGGAUUCAGUCUGACGCUGUUCUUCAUUACCCAAUGGCACUGCCUGAACUCUGGAUGGAAAGGUUGUCAUCUUGCCUUUGGCCAGCAUCUUGCAGUUGCUACCAUACACUGGCUGUUGCACACUCUCCUCUUCUGGGUGGCAAGGCAGCAUGAGAGCAUCUGAGUGAAAUGCCCAGACCUUGUGCGUUUUAGGAUUGCUGGCUUAUGGAGGGAGACACCAAGUGCUGGG
Manacus vitellinus (golden-collared manakin) is the source of this 409-nucleotide long non-coding RNA. RefSeq lists it as uncharacterized. The record is from RefSeq and is a predicted model, not a curated record. NCBI's taxonomy places the organism in Eukaryota, Metazoa, Chordata, Aves, Passeriformes, Pipridae. The transcript has 3 exons.